GGUAGUCCACGCCGUAAACGAUGAUAACUCGAUGUUGGCGAUAGACAGCCAGCGUCCCAGCGAAAGCGUUAAGUUAUCCACCUGGGGAGUACGCCCGCAAGGGUGAAACUCAAAGGAAUUGACGGGGGCCCGCACAAGCGGAGGAGCAUGUGGUUUAAUUCGAUGAUACGCGAGGAACCUUACCCGGGCUUGAAAGUUAGUGAAGAGACCAGAGACGGUCUCGUCCUUCGGGACACGAAACUAGGUGCUGCAUGGCUGUCGUCAGCUCGUGCCGUGAGGUGUUGGGUUAAGUCCCGCAACGAGCGCAACCCCUAUGUUUAGUUGCCAGCAUGUAAUGAUGGGGACUCUAAACAGACUGCCUGUGCAAACAGUGAGGAAGGUGGGGACGACGUCAAGUCAUCAUGGCCCUUACGUCCGGGGCUACACACGUGCUACAAUGGAUGGUACAGCGGGCAGCUACAUAGCAAUAUGAUGCUAACCUCUAAAAGCCAUUCACAGUUCGGAUUGGGGUCUGCAACUCGACCCCAUGAAGUUGGAUUCGCUAGUAAUCGCGUAUCAGCAAUGACGCGGUGAAUACGUUCCCGGGCCUUGUACACACCGCCCGUCAAGCCAUGAAAGUUGGGGGUACCUAAAGCAUGUGACCGCAAGGAGCGUGUUAGGGUAAAACCGAUAAUUGGGGCUAAGUCGUAACAAGGUAACC
RNAcentral lists this ribosomal RNA (700 nucleotides) under uncultured bacterium. RNAcentral's name for it is "bacterial SSU rRNA". It matches the Rfam family "Bacterial small subunit ribosomal RNA", at positions 789 to 1501 of the family's 1533-position model. The record is from RNAcentral.